Molecule: ribosomal RNA, 273 nt
Filed under: uncultured bacterium
Lineage: Bacteria
Description: partial 16S ribosomal RNA
Rfam family: Bacterial small subunit ribosomal RNA
Source: RNAcentral
UACGUAGGCAGCGAGCGUUGUUCGGAGUUACUGGGCGUAAAGCGUGCGUAGGCGGUGGCCCAAGUCUGGUGUGAAAUCUCCCGGCUUAACCGGGAGGGUGCGCCGGAAACUGGGUUGCUGGAGUGCCGGAGAGGCAGGCGGAAUUCCUGGUGUAGCGGUGAAAUGCGUAGAUAUCAGGAGGAACACCCGUGGUGUAGACGGCCUGCUGGACGGUAACUGACGCUGAGGCACGAAAGCGUGGGGAGCAAACAGGAUUAGAAACCCCCGUAGUCC